Molecule: non-coding RNA, 5019 nt
Organism: Oryzias latipes (Japanese medaka)
Lineage: Eukaryota; Metazoa; Chordata; Actinopteri; Beloniformes; Adrianichthyidae
Source: RefSeq, a predicted model, not a curated record
UUUGACGUUCUUUUAAAACGUUAAUGUGUCAUUUCUUUUUUUAAGUGAACUUCUGUUUUUUUUUCUCCAUGUCCCGCGCGGAGCACGGAAGUUUCGGGAAGCGCUGCGAUGGAGAGCCGGGGUGAGGUUGGAGGGGGAGACGGGCAGACUUCCUCUGCCACGUCGGAGCCGAGACCCAGACACUUCCGCUGGACGGACGGUGGCGGCCAGAGCCGGCAGAGCGGGCGCGUGAGCAAACUAACGGUCGACCAUGCGGCCCACACUGCAUUUAUUUCUCCUCAUCUCAUUCCAAUUUCUCAAUGCGUGCAGAAGUAGCACUCCACCUAAGAGCCCCGCUGGCUCUGCACCACCUCCUCCUCCUCCACCUCCACCUCUUCUUCUGAGCGACCCGAGCUGGGCCCUGGGUCUGCGCCUGUACCGGGCCCUCCGCACCCCCUCCGGCUCCGUCAACACCCUGUUCUCCCCGCUCCUCCUGGCCUCCUCCCUGAAGGCUCUGAGUGAAGCCUCCUCGGGGAAGACGUCCACGCAAAUCCAAGCCCUGCUCCGGCCCGAGACGCCUUCGGAGACGUCAGACGGAGUCCUGUCGGGGGCGCUGAAGAGGUUUACGGAGGCUGAUGGGAGCAGCUUCCACCUGCGCUGGUCCUCGGCCGUGUUUACCAAGCAGGCCCCCGCGCUUAGACAGGCCUUUGUGAAGGAGAGCCAGAGCAAGUUCGGACUUCAGCAUCAGACGCUGGGGAAAGGAGACCCCAGCGCCGACCUGAAACGGCUCGGCGACUGGGCAAAGGCUGGCACCGGCGGCCUGGAAGGAGCUCCUCUGGAAGGAGGAAUCAAAGCUAAAGCUGGAGCUGUGAUCCUGGCAAACGCUCUGCACUUUAAAGGGUUGUGGGAGCGGGAGUUCAGCGAAGGCAAUAAGGAUCUACGCACCUUCCUGGGAUGGAAGUACACCCAAGUGGUGAUGAUGCACAGAGCAGGUUUGUUCCGUUUCCACGAAGACAUGGAGAACAUGGUUCAAGUGCUGGAGGUCCCUCUGUGGGGGGGUCAGGCCAGCGCGGUGUUCCUGAUGCCCUUCCACGUGGAAAAUCUGGCCCGGUUGGACAAGCUGCUGAGCCUGGACCUGCUGUCCUAGUGGCUGGAGAGGACCAGCGUCACCAGCGUGGCCAUCUCCAUGCCCAAGGCCAACAUCACCAGCACCCUCAGUCUGCAGAAAGCGCUGUCUGGUCUGGGACUGAUGGAUGCCUGGGACCAGAAGGUGGCCGACUUUUCCGGCGUGUCGGACAAAAGUAAAGGGAAGCUCCACCUGGGCGCCGUCCUCCACUGGGCCUCAAUGGAGCUGGCUCCCCAGGCUGGGGAGGGCGAGGUAGACGUGGAGGAGAACGUAGGGCGGCCCAAGCUGUUUUACGCAGAUCAUCCCUUCCUCGUUUUGGUUAGAGACAACGCGACGGGCGCCCUGCUGCUCAUGGGGGCUCUGGACCAUGCAGAGGGGGAGCUCCUACAUGACGAACUGUAGCUUCACCUGCUGGUGAAGAUAUUCUGUGUGUUUUUCUGCCAGUGCAGAGUUCCCCCUCCUGCAUGUAUAAAUAAAAGCACUCCACUGGUCCUGUCAGGAGAACACGGAGGUGACCGGGGAUCUUCGGCAGGUUCCCCCGGGUCGCCUCCGAGCAAGACUGAUGGAUCGGCCAAGUGCUUAUUGAUGAGCCAGCUUAAUGCUAAUGGCCGCAAUGCGUUAUGGCGCUUGUCAGCGGUACAGGGAAGACGGGAAACCUUUUAAUCUCCUAAUGCCAUCGUUGAUCAAUGGCAACACGGUGCAGCUGGAAACAAGCAAGACUGACACGGCCGGAAUGACUAGAAAAACCCACAAGAAUGCGGGAUUGAGGCAUCGUCUCGGGUUUAUGCCACAUCGAUGUCCCCACCUGCUCCUCAACAGAAAACAAUCGAUCUUUUCUACUCAAUAGAACAGCUUGAACUCACAACGUCAAACUGACAUUGCUGAAUUCUUACAAGGAUCCACAGGCGAAAACACUUCAGCCACUUAGUCUUAUGAAUAAUGGAGAAAUAAACCGUGAGAGACGGAAAAACUCCCAUCCAACCUUUUCUCUCGUUUUUAGUGUGUUUCUAUUCAAAGAACGACUUCCAAACCUUUGCAGUUUAAGACGGUUUUGUUCCAAGUCUCCUAAAAGCACAGAAGAUUUAAACGUGCAUUUUAUCGCUUCUCCAUGUCGCUGUAUUUAGUAACUGCGACUAGACUGAAGUCGACUGUGGGAUUCCAGGAACUCCGGUGUUCUUUCAGGUCUGCUCUGCAGCGGUGCGGGUUGAUGCAUUAGCCUCUGUGUUUUCCUGUGCUGCACAGAGGAGUGCAUUACCCUCCACAACGAAGAAGCCCGAAUGCUCCGUGAUGGAUCUGAGACUGACAGCCCGCAGCAAAUCAAUCCCGCUUAUUCGAACACCAGCUCCCAGCUGGCUCGCCAUCACAUUCUAUUCAGGUCAGAACUCUGACAAACACUCACCAGCCUGGAUCCGUUCGCAGGUACCCAGACAUAAUCUGAGUUACCAGGAAAAGGUGAGAAAAAUCAAUUCUCAAUGCUGUGUGGAGGCCGUACAAUAUAUCUAGGUUAUGUGAGGGUUUGUGUAAUUAAUGCUUUUAGAAGGGCAACAAGAUAAAUUGCCUAAUAAGUAUUUGUUUUCUUUGACUCUUAAUUUAAAAUCAUCAAUCAUGUCCUGUUUUUCAAAAGAAAUUUCUUUCUGAUAUACACAAAAUAAUUGGAUUGUGGUUACUUUUACGUAUCUUCCUGAGGUGGUGCAGAAUUCUUACAGUGAUGCUACGUUCACACCCGGCAUGUGUGGUGCAUUCAAUACCGAAUGUGGGUUUUCGAAUGGUUUUCACAGGGGUCUGUCGCUACCGGAUACUAGUGCAGGUACUCAUCGUUGGAAGAGGCUUGGUGCGAAAUGUUGAAGUGGUACAAAUCUCGCAAAUCUUCUCCUCCACGAUCAAUUUUCCAACGGUUGGUGCCUUCGUGUUUUGAGAAGGACGCUACCCAUGUGUCACUACAAAAGCUGAGUCCCUGAUUGGGACUUAAGUUCAACCGGUUCAGAAUCAGAAGUACUUUAUUGAUCCCACACGUGGGAAAUUUGUGCAAAAUUUGUUCUACGGACUUAUACAUUUGCGAGUUUUGAAUGCUGAAGCCCAAAACACGAAUGUGCGUGCAUUUACAUUGACUUCUCAUUGAAAGCAGUCGCUUCAACGCACAUUUCCGAGCCCGGUGUGAAUGUAGUGUCAGACAUCUACAGGGUUGGACACGCACCAAAACAUUAACACACUAUAUUUACCAUUGAAAUCAGUUGCCCUGAUCGUUACAUGACAUUCUAUCCCUCUCUCUCCGUCUUGACCCUUUUCCAUCCAGCAUUUAAUUUGAACAUUCUAGCGUUUGUAUACACGUCCUCAGUCCAUCCAUGCGUCCCUCUAACCAUUUAUCUGUACAUGUUCUGGAUUCCUGGAGCCUAUCCACACUCCAGUGGGGCACGUCCCGGAGAUUUUCCCAGUCCAUCACUAGCAAAGAACCACACACACUCGCAUUCGCACCUAAGAGACAACUUCUAGUCACCAAGCAUGUUUUUAAACUGUAGGAGGAAGCCAGAGUACCCGGAGAAAACUCAUGCAUGAACAAUUAGAACAUCCAAAGUCCACGCAGGAGGAACCUAUGCGGGAUUCAAACUAUCGCCCUGUGAGACGAGAAUGCUAAUACCACAGUGCACCCUAGGUCUUCUGUCCAUGUAAGUACAAAUAUAUUAAAGUGAUAUUUAGCUAGCUUUCAGGCUCAAUACCUAAGUAGCUAGAAAUACAACAAAACAGGAAGUUAUUGGAGAAACGCGGAGACAACGAUAAAAUGUGCGGUUUUAAGUUUUCUCAACAGUCUGUUGAUGCCGGCGACAACAGAACAACACCGUGACCUUCAGUGAACUACCUUCAUUAUUUACUGAUAUGCAUUUAAAGCAAUUCCGACAGAUUCUGAUGCGUAAAACAUCAACUAUGCAGCACUAUUCAACACUUUCUUUACGUUAAUGGAUAUCGGCAAAGUUUUUUAAUAAUCAGCUGGUGUACGGUAAUCGUGUAAAUGCUUCCUUCUCUGCGUUAAAGUUUGGCACAUCGGCGCAUUGCUGCUUUUCUCUCUUUCAAAUGCUAAAUGGUUGGAGAGUUACUGUAAUUAAAAGAACAUCAACGUUAAAGGAUUAAACUGGUUGUAGUUCUGAGCACUUGGACUGGUACCUUCAUUUUGAACCAAAAGCGAUGAAGUCAACAAAGUCAUCAUUUUUACAUAUUUGUGUCUAAAGACAAAUUUCAAAUGUUGCUUCAUUCUACAUAUUGAAAAAAUACAUUUUUUAAAAGUCAUAGUAGCAAGAAUGUUAUAAUUCGGUCUAAUUAUGUCCAUAUUGGGUUCUAGCUAUCCAUCCAUCCACCACUAUAAUCAGCCUUCUGCUGAGGGUCUAUUCAUUUAUAAUAGUGCAAGCCCUUAAAGUAAUGGAAAAAUCCAUACUGUAAUAGUUCUGAUUAUUGUUAGUUCUAAUUUAUCCUCAAAGGAUCUCACAAUUGAACUCUUGUAUGUUUACAAAAAUGUCUUCAAUUAGAAGAAACUACAAAACAAAAUCAAUAAUCCUGCCUGUUACCAUGGCGUCUUUUCAAAAUUCCUACCGCAUUAUAACCUUUCAAUGACCCAGCCAUUAUUUCCCGAUGUAAAUUUUCAUGAGGUGAGAGGAGAUGUUCAUCACUAUAAGACAUAAAUUAGCCAUUCAUCAUUUCAGGUUUAAAAAUGGAUUUUCAUACAGUAUUUGUUGCUUGUGUGCAUCUUUGCAGCACACUGCCUCCACUCACCGAUAACAGAGGUGAGGUGCAUUAUGGGUGUUGGGUGACGACUUGACGCUGUCGCACACGGCUGAGCUGCUGUUUAGCCUUUCACAUAAAAACGUGUUUUAAGGCAGUUUAAUGUUUAAUUCUCUGCUCCUGAAUUAAACAUGAUGUCAAAGUGG